The sequence is a transfer RNA, 77 nucleotides long. It matches the Rfam family "tRNA". Rfam says of the family: Transfer RNA (tRNA) molecules are approximately 80 nucleotides in length. Their secondary structure includes four short double-helical elements and three loops (D, anti-codon, and T loops).
CGGGGUGUAGCGCAGUUGGCUAGCGCGUGCGCAUGGGGUGCGUAAGGUCGUCAGUUCAAAUCUGAUCACCCCGACCA